CGUAGGUGGCAAGCGUUGUCCGGAAUUAUUGGGCGUAAAGGGCUCGCAGGCGGUUUCUUAAGUCUGAUGUGAAAGCCCCCGGCUCAACCGGGAGGGUCAUUGGAAACUGGGAAACUUGAGUGCAGAAGAGGAGAGUGGAAUUCCACGUGUAGCGGUGAAAUGCGUAGAGAUGUGGAGGAACACCAGUGGCGAAGGCGACUCUCUGGUCUGUAACUGACGCUGAGGAGCGAAAGCGUGGGGAGCGAACAGGAUU
Molecule: ribosomal RNA, 253 nt
Filed under: uncultured bacterium
Lineage: Bacteria
Description: partial 16S ribosomal RNA
Rfam family: Bacterial small subunit ribosomal RNA
Source: RNAcentral